This is a long non-coding RNA of Priapulus caudatus, 242 nucleotides long. RefSeq lists it as uncharacterized. The record is from RefSeq and is a predicted model, not a curated record. Lineage: Eukaryota; Metazoa; Priapulida; Priapulimorpha; Priapulimorphida; Priapulidae. The transcript is spliced from 3 exons.
GGUGGAUUUCAGAGAUAAGGUAAAGGUAAUGUUUUUCUGUGAUCGUAGGAUUUCUCCUAACUGUUGGGAUUUCGUACAUGAGUUGAUGCUGAGCACGUAUAGAUAUACGGAUGACAUCUAGAUGCUUUGAACGACAGUUGGCAAAACUAUAGGAACGGCAGCUAGUUUGUUAAGCGUAGCCGAGCGUACGCACGCGCCGCCGCCGCGGCAGCCGCGUCAUGUCCAACGUUGCGGCAGUGAAG